CGGCGGGGGGGAGGGCAGAGCGGGGCGGGGCGUCGUGGCGUGCACCUGCGCUUCCAGCCGCUGCAGCAGUCGCUCCCCGAACCUCGACCUUCCCCGGCCGUUCAGCCAUUUCCCCCAGCACUGUUCUUCUUUGGGCGCGGGCCCCGGUGUCGCGGAGGGAGGGCGAGUGGCCGCCUCGGGCCUGGCUCGGGCUGCCGGCUGGGCGGGGAGGCCCUGGGAGCUCUGGACAGAGGGCGAGGAACCUUCUAGAAAACGGCCGCAGGGCGGGUUGGAAGGCCCAGCAUCCUGCGGGCGAACUUGACUUGGAUCAUUUCUUGCUGUGCCUCUGGAAAUGAUGAGCAAAACGUGAACUAUGUGCCGAGGUUGACAGACGGCCCCCGAAAGGUGCAAUGUUGUAACGAAGCGCUGUGAGGAACAGUCUCCGCUGUCCCGCUGUGCGAGCUGCUCUAUUACAAUAUAUCCCCCGAGCUUCCUUCCUGGUCUGCAAAUUCAUUUUGGCUCCAAGCCCAGCCUGGAGACUAAUGCAGGGCUUUGAACUCACGACCCUGAGAUCAAGGCUGGAGCUGAAAUCAAGAGUCAGAUGCUUAACCGACUGAGCUCCCCAGGUACCCCCCAAUGCUCUAUUUUGAAUUCAUUUUGUAUAAUGGAUUGAAGUACCGACCAAAGUGGAGGUUUACUCCCGCCCCCCAUACGUGGAUUCCAGCUGUUCCACCACCAUCCGUGAAAAAGACACUUCCUUUUCCACUGAUCUGCACUUUUGUGGAAAAUUGACCACAUGUGUGAAGAUCUAUUUUUGGACUCUUCUGUUCCAUUGAUCUGUGUAUCUUUAUUCUUUCAGUCCAGGAUUUUGUGUGUUUUUUCUGUAAAGCGCCUAGUAUUACAUUUUUUAGGCUCUGCAUGCCAAGAGGCAACAUUCAGGACAUCAUACAGAUACUUGUUAUAUAAGACACAAGUUUCCACAAAAAUUUUAUUAGUGACAUUUGUAUAAUUGAAAAUGUAUAUUUUUUGCAAUAUGUAUCUACUAAUGAGAAAAAUGAAGUUCUUCGGAUAACAUAUUGCUUUGCUGGGGUUCAAAGGCAGCAUCCCCUACCAUCAAAAUUUAUUGUAAACCUUCCUCUGUUAAAACUGACUUGUAAUAAGAUUUUGUGUGUUUCACCAUGAAUAUGAUUUCAAUGGAGUGUAUUCAUGGCUUGAAUGGCAUUUAUAGAAUUCAGUUAGAUUCCUUUCUUGAUAUUUGCCUUUUAGCAUGUCAUUACAUUAUAGAUUAAUUGCCACCAAUUGAAGGUGAGGUAGAAACUCCUCAAACGCACAGUUAAAUGGAUUUUGAAAUACGAAAAUUUCCUUUGUACUUACACAUCGCGUAAAAAUGUGGAAAAAAAUGCUGCUGGAACUGUAGUCUGAGCUUGGAAGAUAUAUCUGCUGUGAAUUUGUGUGGGAAUGAAGAUUUCAUUUCUUGUUUUAUCUUUUGAUAGCAUGUGAAGUGCUUACAAUUGUUUGUGAUUAUUUGUGAUUCAAACAAUGUUGGCUGUCAUCUAAAUGUACUGCAGUGUAAGCUUCACACACGAGCGCUGUAAAAGCUAACUUCAAAGCUAUUCAUUGUUCAGUAACAGUGGUUGAGGGUAGAUCUUCCAACCAUUAAAAGGGGUCAAAACCAAUCUUAACUUUGUAGGCUGGGCUGUAGUGGGUUGGAUUUGGCCCAUGGGCCAUAGUUGGCUUGCCUGUGCUUCAGCUGAUAUUGUCAUAAUUAGUGUAGCUUUAAUGAGGUAGUAUGUGUCCAAUUUUGUACCUCUUUCAAAAUGAUUUUGACUAUUUUAUUCCCUUUGCCAUUUCAUAUGAUUUUUUUUCAUUUCAUAUGAAUUUUAAAGUCAGCUUGUUGGUGCCUAGAAACUAUAGUGGAGAGAUUUUGAUUCAGAUGGCACUAAAUCUAAAAUUCAGUGUGAGUAGAAGUGAUGUCUUAACAAUACAGACUUCUCUAGUCCAUGAAUAUGGUAUGCCUUUCCAUUUAUUUCUUAAAACAACAACAACAAAAAAACCUUUCAUUAGUGUUCUUUCAUCUAGAUUCUGCACAUAUUUUGCUUGAUUUAUUCCUAAGUAUUUCAUUUCAUCAGUAUUGUCAUUAUCACAAAUAGUACCUUGAAAAAACUUUGGGUUUCCAUGUGUUCUUUACUAGUAUAUAGAAAUACGAUCAAUUUUUGUAUGCUGACCUUGUCCCCUAGGACCUUGCUAAACAUACUUAUUAGUUGUAAAAAAUUUUUGUAGACUUCUUGGGAAUAUCAUGACAUCCGAGAGUGAAGACUUUUCUUUUUGCCUUAUUAUUAUGUUUUUAGUUAUAUGUCACCCUUAUAAUAUUUUUGUCUGGAUUUGGUAUCAAGGUAAUGCUGACAUCAUAAAAUGAGUUGGGAAGUAGUCUCACUUUUUCCAAGUCCUGGAAGAGAUUGUAUAGACUUAAUACUGUUUCUUCCUUAAAUGUUUGUUAGAAUUUGCCAAUAAAACCAACUGAUUCUGGAUUUUCUUUCUUAGAAUGUUUGUAACUAGGAAUAUAAUUUCUUUAGUAGAAAUAGAACUAUUCAGGUUACCUAUUUCUUCUCGAAUGAGUUUUGGUAGGUUAUGUCUUUCAAAGAACUGAUUUCACCUACGUUGUUAAACAAACAGGCAUCAAUGCUGUCAUUG
Molecule: long non-coding RNA, 2670 nt
Organism: Acinonyx jubatus (cheetah)
Lineage: Eukaryota; Metazoa; Chordata; Mammalia; Carnivora; Felidae
Exons: 3
Source: RefSeq, a predicted model, not a curated record